AGUGAACGCUGGCGGUAGGCCUAACACAUGCAAGUCGAACGGCAGCACAGUAAGAGCUUGCUCUUACGGGUGGCGAGUGGCGGACGGGUGAGGAAUACAUCGGAAUCUACUUUUUCGUGGGGGAUAACGUAGGGAAACUUACGCUAAUACCGCAUACGACCUACGGGUGAAAGCAGGGGAUCUUCGGACCUUGCGCGAUUGAAUGAGCCGAUGUCGGAUUAGCUAGUUGGCGGGGUAAAGGCCCACCAAGGCGACGAUCCGUAGCUGGUCUGAGAGGAUGAUCAGCCACACUGGAACUGAGACACGGUCCAGACGCCUACGGGGGCAGCAGUGGGGAAUAUUGGACAAUGGGCGCAAGCCUGAUCCAGCCAUACCGCGUGGGUGAAGAAGGCCUUCGGGUUGUAAAGCCCUUUUGUUGGGAAAGAAAAGCAGCAGGUUAAUACCCCGCUGUUCUGACGGUACCCAAAGAAUAAGCACCGGCUAACUUCGUG
Molecule: ribosomal RNA, 491 nt
Filed under: uncultured bacterium
Lineage: Bacteria
Description: partial 16S ribosomal RNA
Rfam family: Bacterial small subunit ribosomal RNA
Source: RNAcentral